This 293-nucleotide unclassified non-coding RNA is filed under the name uncultured Verrucomicrobiae bacterium. RNAcentral describes it as "contains 16S-23S intergenic spacer region". Lineage: Bacteria; Pseudomonadati; Verrucomicrobiota; Verrucomicrobiia. The record is from RNAcentral.
UGGACUACUAGGGUUUCUAAUCCCGUUUGCUCCCCUGGCUUUCGUGCCUCAGCGUCAGGUAUCGUCCAGAGACUCGCCUUCGCCACUGGUGUCCCUCUCGAUAUCUACGCAUUUCACUGCUACACCGAGAAUUCCAGUCUCCCCUCCGAUCCUCUAGCAAGAUAGUAUUCAGGGCAUUUUCCGGGUUAAGCCCGGAGAUUUCACCACAAACUUACCUUGCCGCCUACGCACCCUUUACGCCCAGUGAAUCCGAACAACGCUUGGGACCUCUGUCUUACCGCGGCUGCUGGCAC